Molecule: long non-coding RNA, 1179 nt
Filed under: Salmo trutta (river trout)
Lineage: Eukaryota; Metazoa; Chordata; Actinopteri; Salmoniformes; Salmonidae
Description: lncRNA (ENSSTUG00000031469.1)
Source: RNAcentral
AUGUUAGCAGUGAGGAGGCUGGGAAAGCUCCAGAGAGGAGAGAGUAUCUCUCAGCCUUCUACCCCUCCGUCGUCCUCCUCCUCUCCUCCUCCUCCUUCCUCCACUGGGAGGGGUCAGAGGCCCCCCCUCACUAAACCCCGGCCAGGGAUUGACUCUCCACCUCACACUCCCACCAAGACCCCCGCCUCUACCCACAAUGCUCGAUCCCAGCCCUCGGCAGCUGAUUCGCCAGUCCAAGAAGCGUGUGCGUCUGUCCCUUUACUCUGUCUGCCAACGGAGGAGGAGGAGGAGGAGGAGCGUCGGCGAACUCAUAGCCUGAUUGGUUACUCGUGGUCCGAAGCCGACGUCCUCUCGUUUCCAGGAAGCGCCCCUAGAUUCGCCACGGUUUGCCGCAGCAGCAGCUCUGCUCGACGCGCCGACGCCGACGACGCGACCGUCAACCGCAGCCAAUCGUCAGUGACGCUUCGUCCCAGGAGGAAAGGCCGGCCCCCGACUCCGCCCAAACGGUCGUGUUCCUCCAUCUCCGGCGGCGACGGGCUGCUGGGGGAGGGGCUCGGGGUAGUCGGGUUCAGGGAGAGGAGAGCCAGCGACUGCGGGGGUCUGGCGGAGAGGAGGGGCGACGGGGGGCUGGCGAGGUCAGAGGGAUCUGGAGGCAGCGUCCGAAGCAUUGCCGCCAUGUUGGAGACGUCGAUGGGAGGAGUUGGUCCUGGAGGAGGAGGAGGGGCCAAAACCCUGCCCAAAACCAUGAGAGGAAGAGGAAGUUACCUCGAGCCGACACAGGUCUGUCUGUCUGUCUGUCUGCCUGCCUGGUCUGGUCUGGUCUGGUCUGGUCUGGUCUGGUCUGGUCUGUCUGUCUGUCUGUCUGCAGCAAUCCCACCCCAAAGGCUCAUGGGUAAUGUGUGUAUAAUCCGCCAGGUCAGUCCAGCAGCGCUGCGUCGCCAGGCCGGGUCAGGUGGUCUGGGGUCUGAUGAUGACGUCAUGAAUCGCCGUCGGACCAUCAGCGGUCCGCUCACCGACCAGACAGACUCCGCCCAGAUCCCGUCACCACGGCAACACACUGAGCUACGCCCAGAACCACGCCCACGCUCCACGGUCGUCACGCCGACAGCAGAAGGGCUUAUUACGGAUGGAACAGCGACCAUCAACCGAAGGUUCAUCAGGCUAACUCUAUCAGGCUAA